RNAcentral lists this transfer RNA (66 nucleotides) under bovine gut metagenome. It matches the Rfam family "tRNA". Rfam says of the family: Transfer RNA (tRNA) molecules are approximately 80 nucleotides in length. Their secondary structure includes four short double-helical elements and three loops (D, anti-codon, and T loops). Further hydrogen bonds mediate the characteristic L-shaped molecular structure. tRNAs have two regions of fundamental functional importance: the anti-codon, which is responsible for specific mRNA codon recognition, and the 3' end, to which the tRNAs corresponding amino acid is attached (by aminoacyl-tRNA synthetases). tRNAs cope with the degeneracy of the genetic code in two manners: having more than one tRNA (with a specific anti-codon) for a particular amino acid; and 'wobble' base-pairing, i.e. permitting non-standard base-pairing at the 3rd anti-codon position. The record is from RNAcentral.
AGUGUGGCUCAGUCGGUAGAGCAGUUGAUUCGUAAUCACCAGGUCGCCGGUUCGAAUCCGGCCACU